CUAGGACCUGCCUAGUAGUGGGGGAUAACGUCCGGAAACGGGCGCUAAUACCGCAUACGUCCUACGGGAGAAAGUGGGGGAUCUUCGGACCUCACGCUAUUAAAUGAGCCUAGGUCGGAUUAGCUAGUUGGUGAGGUAAUGGCUCACCAAGGCGACGAUCCGUAACUGGUCUGAGAGGAUGAUCAGUCACACUGGAACUGAGACACGGUCCAGACUCCUACGGGAGGCAGCAGUGGGGAAUAUUGGACAAUGGGCGAAAGCCUGAUCCAGCCAUGCCGCGUGUGUGAAGAAGGUCUUCGGAUUGUAAAGCACUUUAAGUUGGGAGGAAGGGCAGUUACCUAAUACGUGAUUGUUUUGACGUUACCGACAGAAUAAGCACCGGCUAACUCUGUGCCAGCAGCCGCGGUAAUACAGAGGGUGCAAGCGUUAAUCGGAAUUACUGGGCGUAAAGCGCGCGUAGGUGGUUUGUUAAGUUGGAUGUGAAAGCCCCGGGCUCAACCUGGGAACUGCAUCCAAACUGGCAAGCUAGAGUAUGGUAGAGGGUUGGUGGAAUUUCCUGUGUAGCGGUGAAAUGCGUAAUAUAGGAAGGAACACCAGUGG
RNAcentral lists this ribosomal RNA (600 nucleotides) under Pseudomonas sp. RNAcentral describes it as "bacterial SSU rRNA". It matches the Rfam family "Bacterial small subunit ribosomal RNA", at positions 117 to 715 of the family's 1533-position model. Lineage: Bacteria; Pseudomonadati; Pseudomonadota; Gammaproteobacteria; Pseudomonadales; Pseudomonadaceae. The record is from RNAcentral.